UAAAAACUCUACGGCGCUUUCCCAGUUUAUGGCUUCAAUGUAAACAUUCAGUAGCUCUCAUCGACCGACCUGUUACCAUCAAUAUCGUCACCCUGACGGCACCCACUUCCAGGCACCACUCGCCGCCAUGACGUCGUUAUGGCUGAUUCUCGUUACAUGUUUGGUUGUUCUGAGCAUCAGCGGUGUCAACAGCACGACAUCUACUUCUACAGCUGCAACAGUUCCUGCAACACACCGGACGGCCAUAACUGCAUCUCAAACGACAGCUCAAUUGCUCACACCUAC
Haliotis rubra (blacklip abalone) is the source of this 285-nucleotide long non-coding RNA. RefSeq lists it as uncharacterized. The record is from RefSeq and is a predicted model, not a curated record. The transcript is spliced from 2 exons. Lineage: Eukaryota; Metazoa; Mollusca; Gastropoda; Lepetellida; Haliotidae.